Molecule: ribosomal RNA, 279 nt
Filed under: uncultured bacterium
Lineage: Bacteria
Description: partial 16S ribosomal RNA
Rfam family: Bacterial small subunit ribosomal RNA
Source: RNAcentral
UGCCAGCAGCCGCGGUAAUACAGAGGGUGCGAGCGUUAAUCGGAAUUACUGGGCGUAAAGAGCGCGUAGGUGGCUAAGUAAGUUGGAUGUGAAAUCCCUGGGCUUAACCUAGGAACUGCAUUCAAAACUACUUGGCUAGAGUAGAGUAGAGGGAAGUGGAAUUUCCGGUGUAGCGGUGAAAUGCGUAGAUAUCGGAAGGAACACCAGUGGCGAAGGCGACUUCCUGGAUUCAUACUGACACUGAGGCGCGAAAGCAUGGGGAGCAAACAGGAUUAGAUA